Molecule: non-coding RNA, 30 nt
Filed under: Mus musculus (house mouse)
Lineage: Eukaryota; Metazoa; Chordata; Mammalia; Rodentia; Muridae
Source: RNAcentral
UCGAGCUUGCCAGAGUCCCUUCAGAGAUGA